CUACGGGUUGCACCAGUGAGGAAUAUUGCACAAUGGGGGGAACCCUGAUGCAGCAACGCCGCGUGGAGGAUGACGCAUUUCGGUGUGUAAACUCCUUUUAUAUGUCAAGAAAAUGACGGUAGCAUAUGAAUAAGCGCCGGCUAACUCCGUGCCAGCAGCCGCGGUAAUACGGAGGGCGCAAGCGUUACUCGGAAUCACUGGGCGUAAAGGACGCGUAGGCGGGUUGAAAAGUCAGGUGUGAAAGCCUACAGCUUAACUGUAGAACUGCACUUGAAACUCUCAAUCUAGAGUAUGGGAGGGGCAGAUGGAAUUAGUGGUGUAGGGGUAAAAUCCGUAGAUAUCACUAGGAAUACCUAAAGCGAAGGCGAUCUGCUGGAACAUUACUGACGCUAAGGCGUGAAAGCGUGGGGAGCAAACAGGAUUAGAUACCCGAGUAGUC
RNAcentral lists this ribosomal RNA (439 nucleotides) under uncultured bacterium. Its description in RNAcentral is "partial 16S ribosomal RNA". It matches the Rfam family "Bacterial small subunit ribosomal RNA", at positions 339 to 795 of the family's 1533-position model. The record is from RNAcentral.